Molecule: ribosomal RNA, 85 nt
Filed under: butyrate-producing bacterium
Lineage: Bacteria
Description: partial 16S ribosomal RNA
Rfam family: Bacterial small subunit ribosomal RNA
Source: RNAcentral
UAACAUGAGAGUUUGAUCCUGGCUCAGGAUGAACGCUGGCGGCGUGCCUAACACAUGCAAGUCGAACGAGGUAUUUUGAUUGAAG